RNAcentral lists this long non-coding RNA (310 nucleotides) under Vitis vinifera (wine grape). Its description in RNAcentral is "long non-coding RNA (VVIN_LNC007858)". Lineage: Eukaryota; Viridiplantae; Streptophyta; Magnoliopsida; Vitales; Vitaceae. The record is from RNAcentral.
AAGAUAAUUCUCUAUAUUUGCCUUUAACUUUCCAACAAUACAAAUGGGAGUAGACUAUGAACUCAAAAGCAACAUGACCAAGAACACACCACCUAGUGGUUUGGGUGCACCACCACCUAGUCAUAUGUCUAGACCUCCACCUAGACCAUAAACUAGGGGAAAGUCUAUGCCACCACCAUAUCAUCCAUUGAUGAAUCCUAGACCACUUUCUUUCUUAUUUUCCAUAUAACUUUAAGUUAUAUUUGGCUCCCGAAAAUUAAGAAAUAAGAAAAAAAAUAUUUUUUAAGGUUUGAUUUUACUAUAAAAAAAA